ACUAGUGAUUUUCCGGUUGAUCCUGCCGGACCUUACUGCUAUCGGGUGGAGACUAAGCCAUGCGAGUUGUGCUUCUCCUAGCCAUGUUGGGGACGCAGCGCACGGCUCCGUAACACGUAGUUAAUCUGCCCUUGGGACGGGUAUAACCCUGGGAAACUGGGGCUAAUCCCUGAUAGGCGCAGUGGCCUGGAAUGGUACUGCACCGAGAGGGCUCCGAGAACACGCUCUUGGGGUCGCCCAAGGAUGAGACUGCGGCCGAUCAGGUUGUUGGUGGGGUAACGGCCUACCAAGCCUAUAACCGGUAUGGGCCCUGAGAGGGGGGGCCCGGAGAUGGGAACUGAGACAAGGUCCCAGGUCCUACGGGGCGCAGCAGGCGCGAAAACUCCACAAUGCGCGAAUGCGUGAUGGGGUUAGCCCGAGUGCCGUCCGAUGAGGAUGGCUUUUCUCCAGUGUAAGGAGCUGGAGGAAUAAAGGGGGGGCAAGACUGGUGUCAGCCGCCGCGGUAAUACCAGCCCCCUGAGUGGUAAGGACGAUUAUUUGGCCUAAAGCGUCCGUAGCCGGCUUGGUAAGUCUUCCGUUAAAUCCGGCGAUUCCAUCGUCGGCCUGCGGGAGAUACUGCCAGGCUUGAGGACGGGAGAGGUCGACGGUAGUCCCAGGGUAGGGGUGAAAUCCUAUAAUCCUGGGAGGACCACCAGUGGCGAAGGCGGUCGACUAGAACGUGCCUGACGGUGAUGGACGAAAGCUGGGGGAGCGAACCGGAUUAGACACCCGGGUAGUCCCAGCCGUAAACGAUGCGAGCUAGGUGUUGGAGCAACUACGAGUUGCUCCAGUGCCGCAGAGAAGUUGUUAAGCUCGCCGCCUGGGAGGUACGGCCGCAAGGCUGAAACUUAAAGGAAUUGGCGGGGGAGCACCACAAGGGGUGAAGCCUGCGGUUCAAUUGGAGUCAACGCCGGGAA
RNAcentral lists this ribosomal RNA (956 nucleotides) under uncultured archaeon. RNAcentral describes it as "bacterial SSU rRNA". It matches the Rfam family "Archaeal small subunit ribosomal RNA", at positions 1 to 924 of the family's 1478-position model. The record is from RNAcentral.